This 199-nucleotide long non-coding RNA is filed under the name Physcomitrium patens. RNAcentral describes it as "long non-coding RNA (PPAT_LNC008802)". Lineage: Eukaryota; Viridiplantae; Streptophyta; Bryopsida; Funariales; Funariaceae. The record is from RNAcentral.
AGAUUUGGUUAUGAGAUCAAUUUACUUAUUUUUUCAACUGCAUAAUUUCUUGUCAUAGGUUUUGAAUUUCUUUCAUAGGCAUAGGAUUAAUAUUUCCAUAGUUGAUAUUGGUGAUGCAUGAAAUUUUUCCUCUAAGAGUGUUAACAAGUUCUUAAAAAUUUAUAAUAAUUACAAAUCUAUUAUCACUUCUACCAAGUAU